This 300-nucleotide ribosomal RNA is filed under the name uncultured Lactobacillus sp. RNAcentral describes it as "bacterial SSU rRNA". The stretch from base 52 to 300 matches the Rfam family "Bacterial small subunit ribosomal RNA", at positions 547 to 795 of the family's 1533-position model. Lineage: Bacteria; Bacillati; Bacillota; Bacilli; Lactobacillales; Lactobacillaceae. The record is from RNAcentral.
GCGAAAGUGGGGCCGGGGGGCGCGGGAAGAGGUGGGGGGGAAGGGGUGUCCGGAUUGAUGGGGCGUAAAUAGCGGAUAGGCGGGCAGGGAGGGCCGUUGUGAAAACGCGAGGCUCAACCGCGAGGCGGCGAUGGAGACCAUUUGGCGAGAGGCCGGAAGAGGAGAGUGGAAUUCCUGGUGGAGCGGUGAAAUGCGCAGAUAUCAGGAAGAACACCCGUGGCUAAGGCGGCUCUCUAGUACGGUACUGACGCUGAGACGCGAAAGCGUGGGGAGCGAACAGGAUUAGAUACCCGAGUAGUC